RNAcentral lists this ribosomal RNA (429 nucleotides) under Acidobacteriota bacterium. RNAcentral's name for it is "Acidobacteria bacterium partial 16S ribosomal RNA". It matches the Rfam family "Bacterial small subunit ribosomal RNA", at positions 355 to 776 of the family's 1533-position model. Lineage: Bacteria; Pseudomonadati; Acidobacteriota. The record is from RNAcentral.
UGGGGAAUCUUCCGCAAUGGACGAAAGUCUGACGGAGCAACGCCGCGUGAGUGAAGACGGCCUUCGGGUUGUAAAGCUCUGUUAUACGGGACGAACGGGCGAGGGGCUAAUACCCUCUUGUCGUGACGGUACCGUAAGAGAAAGCCACGGCUAACUACGUGCCAGCAGCCGCGGUAAUACGUAGGUGGCAAGCGUUGUCCGGAAUUAUUGGGCGUAAAGGGUGCGCAGGCGGUCUCUUAAGUCUGUCUUAAAAGUGCGGGGCUUAACCCCGUGAGGGGACGGAAACUGGGAGACUGGAGUAUCGGAGAGGAAAGCAGAAUUCCUAGUGUAGCGGUGAAAUGCGUAGAUAUUAGGAGGAAUACCAGUGGCGAAAGCGGCUUUCUGGACGACAACUGACGCUGAGGCACGAAAGCCAGGGGAGCAAACGGG